This 440-nucleotide ribosomal RNA is filed under the name uncultured bacterium. RNAcentral describes it as "partial 16S ribosomal RNA". It matches the Rfam family "Bacterial small subunit ribosomal RNA", at positions 338 to 795 of the family's 1533-position model. The record is from RNAcentral.
CCUACGGGAGGCAGCAGUGGGGAAUAUUGCACAAUGGGGGAAACCCUGAUGCAGCGAAGCCGCGUGAGUGAAGAAGUAAUUAGUUAUGUAAAGCUCUAUCAGCAGGGAAGAAAAUGACGGUACCUGAGUAAGAAGCCCCGGCUAACUACGUGCCAGCAGCCGCGGUAAUACGUAGGGGGCAAGCGUUAUCCGGAUUUACUGGGUGUAAAGGGAGCGUAGACGGCAGUGCAAGUCAGGAGUGAAAGGCGGGGGCUCAACCCCCGGACUGCUCUGGAAACUGUACGGCUUGAGUGCAGGAGAGGUAAGUGGAAUUCCUAGUGUAGCGGUGAAAUGCGUAGAUAUUAGGAGGAACACCAGUGGCGAAGGCGGCUUACUGGACUGUAACUGACGUUGAGGCUCGAAAGCGUGGGGAGCAAACAGGAUUAGAUACCCCAGUAGUC